AUCGAAAUAGCAAAAACUGCAUAAAAAUCUUAUUUUAUUAUUAUUUUAUUCCCAACCUACUAAUAUUGAAAAUGCAAUAAUUAAUUAUAAAAGUGCUAGAAAACAAGCUUUUCAAGUGUGGAAAUGACCUAAAAUAACUACUACAUUUGAUGUCAGGUCAAAUACCCCCACAUUUAAGUCUUUUAUCCUCAAGCAAGCAAAACAAAAACAAAAGUAAAAUAAAAGAAACUAGAAAACAAAACAACUAAAAAUAAGAAAUAAAC
This 263-nucleotide long non-coding RNA is filed under the name Gossypium raimondii (Peruvian cotton). RNAcentral describes it as "long non-coding RNA (GRAI_LNC000414)". Lineage: Eukaryota; Viridiplantae; Streptophyta; Magnoliopsida; Malvales; Malvaceae. The record is from RNAcentral.